UUCCCUUGAGUUUCAGCCUUGCGACCAUACUCCCCAGGCGGAGCACUUAACACUUUCGCAUCGGUCGGAAACCUAUGGAGGAGCCUCCAACCUAGUGCUCAUCGUUUACAGCUAGGACUACCGGGGUAUCUAAUCCCGUUCGCUACCCUAGCUUUCGUGCCUCAGCGUCAGAAAAGACCCAGUGAGCCGCUUUCGCCACAGGUGUUCCUAAUGAUAUCAACGCAUUUCACCGCUCCACCAUUAGUUCCGCUCACCUCUAUCUUCCUCUAGCUUGGCAGUUUUGAGCGCAGUUCCUCGGUUGAGCCGAGGGAUUUCACACCCAACUUGCUAUGUCUCCUACGCACCCUUUAAGCCCAGUGAUUCCGAAUAACGUUUGGACGGUUCGUCUUACCGCGGCUGCUGGCACGAACUUAGCCCGUCCUUCCUCUGAAGAUAGGUCAACUAUGGGGGAGAACCCCCAUAGAUUUCCUCCCAACUGACAGCGGUUUACAACCCGAAGGCCUUCAUCCCGCACGCGGCGUCGCUCCGUCAGGCUUUCGCCCAUUGCGGA
Molecule: ribosomal RNA, 550 nt
Filed under: uncultured Planctomycetota bacterium
Lineage: Bacteria; Pseudomonadati; Planctomycetota
Description: uncultured planctomycete partial 16S ribosomal RNA
Source: RNAcentral